UUUAAAAAAAAAUUAUGUGAAUAUACAAAAUGAGUGGUGACUGGUGAGUUUCAUGCCAUAUUAGUAAACUAGUAUACUAUGAAAGGGAGUGUAUGAAGCUAAAAUUGGGCAUAAAUCCCAAAGAAAUGGAAAAAAGACAUAGUCGAAGAAAUGGAAAAAAGACAUAGUCGAGUUCCUACAUGCUGUAUUGCUGUGGAUGCUACGAAUAGAAGGCCAUCGUAGCCGACCCAGCGGGAUAAUGGAUAAUGCGCUGGCAAGAAAAUGGGAAUCACCGGUGUUUUGUUCCCA
RNAcentral lists this long non-coding RNA (288 nucleotides) under Coffea arabica (coffee). Its description in RNAcentral is "long non-coding RNA (CARA_LNC005806)". Lineage: Eukaryota; Viridiplantae; Streptophyta; Magnoliopsida; Gentianales; Rubiaceae. The record is from RNAcentral.